Molecule: ribosomal RNA, 923 nt
Filed under: uncultured bacterium
Lineage: Bacteria
Description: bacterial SSU rRNA
Rfam family: Bacterial small subunit ribosomal RNA
Source: RNAcentral
AGAGUUUGAUCGUGGCUCAAAACGAACGCUGGCGGCGUGCCUAACACAUGCAAGUCGAACGAGAAUCCGGGCUUCGGUCCGGUAGUAAAGUGGCGCACGGGUGAGUAACACGUGGGUAACGUGCCUUAUAGUGGGGGAUAACCAGGUGAAAGCUUGGCUAAUACCGCAUGAGUCCGUCGGGACGCCGGUCCUGACGGGGAAAGUGGAGCAAUCCACGCUAUGAGAUCGGCCCGCGGCCUAUCAGCUUGUUGGUGGGGUAAUGGCCUACCAAGGCGACGACGGGUAGCCGACCUGAGAGGGUGAUCGGCCACACUGGGACUGAGACACGGCCCAGACUCCUACGGGAGGCAGCAGUGGGGAAUAUUGCACAAUGGGCGCAAGCCUGAUGCAGCGACGCCGCGUGAGGGAUGACGGCCUUCGGGUUGUAAACCUCUUUCACCAGGGACGAAGCGGAAGUGACGGUACCUGGAGAAGAAGCACCGGCCAACUACGUGCCAGCAGCCGCGGUAAUACGUAGGGUGCGAGCGUUGUCCGGAAUUACUGGGCGUAAAGAGCUCGUAGGCGGUUUGUCGCGUCGUCUGUGAAAUUCUGCAACUCAUUUGCAGGCGUGCAGGCGAUACGGGCAGACUUGACUACUACAGGGGGAGACUGUAUUUCCUGGUGUAGCGGUGAAAUGCGCAGAUAUCAGACGACGCGGUGGCCGAAGCCUGUUCUCUGAGUAGUAGCUGACGCUGAGGAGCGAAAGCGUGACUAGCGACAGAUACAUCCCUGUAGUCAGCGUAACGUGGAUACUAAGAGGUUGAGUCUCUUUCGAGGAAUCGGUGCAGAGACUAGCCAUUAGUACCCGGUCAGGGCAGUACGUCGAAUGCUAAGUUAGGUAUCUGAUGGCUGCAAUCGAGAACAGUAAAUGCCGUUCGAAUGCA